GAUGAACGCUGGCGGCGUGCCUAACACAUGCAAGUCGAGCGGACGGACGCGAAGCUUGCUUCACUGAUGUUAGCGGCGGACGGGUGAGUAACAAGUGGACAACCUAGCUAUAAGACUGGGAUAAAUUCGGGAAACCGGAGCUCAUACCGUAUAAUAUUUUGAACCGCAUGGUUCAAAAGUGUAUGACGGUCUUGCUGUCACUUAUAGCUGGAUCCGCGCUGCAUUAGCUAGUUGGUAAGGUAACGGCUUACCAAGGCGACGAUGCAUAGCCGACCUGAGAGGGUGAUCGGCCACACUGGAACUGAGACACGGUCCAGACUCCUACGGGAGGCAGCAGUAGGGAAUCUUCCGCAAUGGGCGAAAGCCUGACGGAGCAACGCCGCGUGAGUGAUGAAGGUCUUCGGAUCGUAAAACGCUGUUAUUAGGGAAGAACAUAUGUGUAAGUAACUGUGCACAUCUUGACGGUACCUAAUCAGAAAGCCACGGCUAACUACGUG
Molecule: ribosomal RNA, 497 nt
Filed under: uncultured bacterium
Lineage: Bacteria
Description: partial 16S ribosomal RNA
Rfam family: Bacterial small subunit ribosomal RNA
Source: RNAcentral